CACUUCUAAGGAAGGCAGCAGGCGCGCAAAUUACCCAAUCCUGACUCAGGGAGGUAGUGACAAGAAAUAACAAUAAACCGGCUUAUGCCGGUUUAAUUGGAAUGAGUACAAUUUAAACAUCUUAACGAGGAACAAUUGGAGGGCAAGUCUGGUGCCAGCAGCCGCGGUAAUUCCAGCUCCAAUAGCGUAUACUAAAGUUGUUGCAGUUAAAAAGCUCGUAGUUGGAUUUCUGUGGGGACGGAGCGGCCGGCCGCAACUCGCGGUUCGAGCUAGCGCUUUCCCUACAUCCUGCCGCGAACCGUGCUACCAUUAGUUUGGUGGCGCCGGGGAUCGGCUCGAUUACUUUGAGAAAAAUAGAGUGUUCAAAGCAGGCCACAUGCCUUGAAUAAGUUAGCAUGGAAUAAUAACUAAGGACUUCGGUUCUAUUUUGUUGGUGUUCGGGACUGAAGUAAUGAUUGAUAGGGACAGUUGGGGCGGUCUGUAUUCCAAAGCGAGAGGUGAAAUUCUUAGACCUUCGGAAGACAAACAGCUGCGAAAGCGUUCCGCAAGGAUGUUCCCUUUGAUCAAGAACGAAAGUUGGGGGAUCGAAGACGAUCAGAUACCGUCGUAGUCUCAACUAUAAACUAUACCAGCUAGGGAUCGGCCAACGUUAUUUCAAACCGACUUGGUCGGCACCUUAUGAGAAAUCAAAGCAUCUGGGUUCCGGGGGGAGUAUGGUCGCAAGGCUGAAACUUAAAGGAAUUGACGGAAGGGCACCACCAGCCGUGGAGCCUGUGGCUUAAUUUGACUCAACACGGGAAAACUUACCAGGUCCAGACAUAGUAAGGAUUGACAGAUUGAUAGCUCUUUCUUGAUUCUGUGGGUGGUGGUGCAUGGCCGUUCUUAGUUGGUGGAGUGAUUUGUCUGGUUAAUUCCGUUAACGAACGAGACCCCAGCCUGCUAAAUAGCGCGCGUGAGCUUUGCUCGCGGCGAGCUUCUUAGAGGGACUAUGAUGCGCGAUAGCACAUGGAAGUUUGGGGCAAUAACAGGUCUGUGAUGCCCUUAGAUGUUCUGGGCCGCACACGGGCUACACUGGCGCCUGCAGCGAGCAUAUCAGCUGGCCCGAGAGGGUCUUGGCUAAUCUUUCGAACCGGCGCCGUGCUUGGGAUUGACCUUUGCAACUGUUGGUCAUGCAACGAGGAAUGCCUUGUAAACGCGAGUCAUCAGCUCGCAUUGAAUACGUCCCUGCCCUUUGUACACACCGCCCGUCGCUCCUACCGAUGAAUGUUCCGAUGAAAUUUUCGGAGAGCACCUGUGAACUUGGCUCUGCCUUGCGAACGGGAGGCUCAAAGUCACUUAAAUCUGAACAUUUCGAGG
RNAcentral lists this ribosomal RNA (1356 nucleotides) under uncultured marine eukaryote. Its description in RNAcentral is "SSU rRNA". It matches the Rfam family "Eukaryotic small subunit ribosomal RNA", at positions 411 to 1779 of the family's 1831-position model. The record is from RNAcentral.